AGUCUCUGGCCUUACAGGAGUGACCUGGACCUUGGCAGGCUCCUUGGCUUCCUCUUUGGGAUCCGGUUUCUUCUCCUUGGUCUUUCUUGUCCAGGAUGAAAAGAUUGGCAAAGCCGUGAGCGAUCACGUUAGCCGUGCGCCUGUUGACCCCGCCCACUGCGAGUAAACUGCCAAUCAAAACUGAGCCAGCACCGAGAGUGACAAAAACUGUCUUCCCAUCCGGUCCACCAACCACCUGCACUUCGCCUGCUUUGAUGAUGUACAUCUCCCGACCGACCUCUCCCUGAGGGGGAACGUGGACAAUACUCACCUUGAGUAACCGGGGCAGGCGCAGGAGAGGGUUGAUGCCAGUUUUAAAAUAGAAGAGCUCCAGCGGAACAAGACUAGCCACAUCAAACUGAAAAACACAUAUUAAAUGUAAUGAAUAUCAUUCAAAAAAUCUAAUAUUCAUAAUUAAUUCUGAUGUUGUGUGAAGAGUUUCUCCGCAUAACUAUACAUUAUUGUGAGAAAUUAAUGGAGCUGUUACUCCCUUUGCUGAACCAUUACUUUUGUUGCCAAUUAAUGAGUUGUCGAUUAAUCAAUUAGUUGUCGAUUAAUCGAUGCAUCUCUAUUGCAUAUAUAUUCGGACAAAUACACAAAGCCCAUUAUGACUAA
Long non-coding RNA from Syngnathus typhle (broad-nosed pipefish), 654 nucleotides. RefSeq lists it as uncharacterized. The record is from RefSeq and is a predicted model, not a curated record. The transcript has 4 exons. Lineage: Eukaryota; Metazoa; Chordata; Actinopteri; Syngnathiformes; Syngnathidae.